GCCAGCCUCAGCAAUUUGGUGAGGCCCUGAGCAACUCAGCAAGACCCUGUCUCUAAAUAAAAAAUAAAAAGGGCUGGGGACGGGGCUCAGGGGGAGGGCUCUCCUAGGUCCAACCCCAAUACUGCCAAAUAGACUAAGUGUGACCUCACUGACAGCCACAGUGGCCAGCACAGACCUGUUGGAAACAGAGCUCCGGGCACUUCCUGUUCUGAAAGAAAGACGUCCUGCCCAGGCCGACAGUGCAGAGCAGGGCCUCGUGCUAGGCCGACUUUGUUUAAUAAGCACAUAAUCAUACACAACAGAGAAUAAUGGUCGUAACUUCAGCAUGAAGCAGGAGAAUCAAGUGCCAUGAUUGAGCUCCUCUGGUUCUCUUUUUUUUUAGUAUUUCCAGUUCUAGAUGGACACAGUGCCUUUAUUUUGUUUAUUGACGUCUUUUUUUUUUUAAAUCUUCAUUUUAUUCUCUAUGUGGUGCUGAGAAUCGAACCCAGUGCCUCAAGCAUCCUAGGUGAGUGCUCUACCUCUGAGCCACAAGCCCAGCCCUGACUGAGUUUUUUUACGUGGUUCUGGGGCUGAAACCCAGGGCCUCACACCUGCUAGACAAGUUCUCAACCCCUGAGCCCCAGCCCCAGCCCUUUUUAUAAUUUAUUUAGAGACAGGGUCUCGCUAACUUGAUGAGGGCUUCACUAAGUUGAAGAGGCCGGCCUCCAAC
Molecule: long non-coding RNA, 709 nt
Filed under: Marmota monax (woodchuck)
Lineage: Eukaryota; Metazoa; Chordata; Mammalia; Rodentia; Sciuridae
Source: RNAcentral